Aquila chrysaetos chrysaetos is the source of this 897-nucleotide long non-coding RNA. RefSeq lists it as uncharacterized. The transcript is spliced from 2 exons. The record is from RefSeq and is a predicted model, not a curated record. Lineage: Eukaryota; Metazoa; Chordata; Aves; Accipitriformes; Accipitridae.
UUCACUUUAUUAAACUGUCCUUAUCUUGACCCACGAGCCUUUUGUUAUAUUUUCUCCCCCAUGUCCAGCUGAGGAGGGGGAGUGAUAGAGCGGCUUUGGUGAGCACCUGGUGCCCAGCCAAGGCCAACCCACCACACCCCCACUCCAGGCAAGGCGUCUGGGUGCCAGGACUCUGCAAAGGGAGGACAGACUCUGGAAAGGGGAGAGCCAGCCAUUGGAGGGAUCCAUCUCUCUUCAGCCAGGUCCCACAAGAAAAGCCAAUUCGGGGUGCCCAGCAAGGCCCCUCAGCCGUCAGGGAGCUCCAGGCCAAUGCCAGUCUCCAAAACUGGUUUCUGUCUCAGGAAGGGUGUCAGAGAAAUCCCCUUUCCCCCAGGGCUGCCGUCAGUGAAGGAAUGAACCCUGCAGGUGGGGGAAGCACCCUCCUUUUUUGGAGAUGGUUACCAGGGGAGCUGCCUCUGCUGCUCUUUCUUGCUGCCAGCCCUUGGUCUCAGUGAUGAGCUUGAAUAUGUCCUGCCAUGUUGGAUGCAGCUCCAGCCCUUCUAGGACCCGGACUGCUUAUGGAGAAAGGUGGCUGCAACAGCAGGGAAAAGUCAUCCCUCAGCCUCUGCCGGAGACCGCUUCUGCCUUUGCUCCUUGUUUAGCCUCUGCACCUGCCCCAUCACCUGUCCACCCACACUUUCACCCUGUGGUACGCAAUGCAGACAAGACACCAUCUGAUGCCUGAAAGCUUUUAUACACAACCAGGUAAAAGCCUUGUCCAGUGUCCAGAGAUGACCUCACACAGCCACAGCUCCGGCCAUGUGGUGUCUGCCAGGAUAUCUCAGGACAGGUGCUGGAAUGGGGAGGGAAAAUGCUGGUGGAAGAUUCCUGCUUUUUAGUAAAUCUUUGUUAUCAUCA